AUUGAACGCUGGCGGCAGGCCUAACACAUGCCAGUCGAACGGUAACAGGAAGAAGCUUGCUUCUUUGCUGACGAGUGGCGGACGGGUGAGUAAUGUCUGGGAAACUGCCUGAUGGAGGGGGAUAACUACUGGAAACGGUAGCUAAUACCGCAUAACGUCGCAAGACCAAAGAGGGGGACCUUCGGGCCUCUUGCCAUCGGAUGUGCCCAGAUGGGAUUAGCUAGUAGGUGGGGUAACGGCUCACCUAGGCGACGAUCCCUAGCUGGUCUGAGAGGAUGACCAGCCACACUGGAACUGAGACACGGUCCAGACUCCUACGGGAGGCAGCAGUGGGGAAUAUUGCACAAUGGGCGCAAGCCUGAUGCAGCCAUGUCGCGUGUAUGAAGAAGGCCUUCGGGUUGUAAAGUACUUUCAGCGGGGAGGAAGGGAGUAAAGUUAAUACCUUUGCUCAUUGACGUUACCCGCAGAAGAAGCACCGGCUAACUCCGUG
Molecule: ribosomal RNA, 490 nt
Filed under: uncultured bacterium
Lineage: Bacteria
Description: partial 16S ribosomal RNA
Rfam family: Bacterial small subunit ribosomal RNA
Source: RNAcentral